Molecule: non-coding RNA, 890 nt
Organism: Penaeus vannamei (Pacific white shrimp)
Lineage: Eukaryota; Metazoa; Arthropoda; Malacostraca; Decapoda; Penaeidae
Source: RefSeq, a predicted model, not a curated record
GGAAGUGAAUGGGCUGGUUAAGGAGUAUAUAAGGCGCUCUCUGCACACGACUCAGGCAAUCUGCAAAGAGCACAAGGAAUCUUACGACCUCCUGGAUUUUUUCCUUACAGCUGUUUCUGUGAAAAAGAUGCGUUUCCUUCUCGCGUUGCUGGCGCUGGUCUGCCUGCUGGGCGCCGUCCUCGCCAGCCCUCUGCCUCAGACCAGGGACAACCAAAGGAACCCGAGGCAACAGAAUAAUCCUCUGCGCCAGAACUCCGGCAGCGACUCCCAAGGACCCGCAAAUUACCGGAAACCGUACGUGUUCGACGACUUCCUCGGAGGCAGAUAGCGGGCGACGCUGACCUGGUCUCGCUGGCAACUGGGCUGUGACGUGUUUACCCUUAUAUGGCCGGUCUCUUGGACGGUUGUGUAUGGCACCUUAGUCGUUUAGCUUAUUUAUUAGAUUCGUAAGGUCGGUGUGGAAAUUAUGUUGAUAUUCUUGUAUACAAAUCAAUUAACUGGAUAGCGAGACAUUUUGGAAACAAUCGUUGCUAUAUUUGUAUGUGUACAUGAGCAUGCAUCUGUAUAUAUAUGUGUAUAUAUAUAUGUGUAUAUUACGGAUGGAUUUCUAUUUUGUGAAUAAUGCUGUUAGCCAUAAACGAGUAAUUUCGCCGAGGCUAUAGAAAGUGAAUCGUUUAUGAUGUUUAACUCAACCUUGUAUCUGACUUCGAAGUGCUGCUUGUUCCAAUGUUAAUAAGGAUGAUGGUGUGUGUGCUGCUUAUAAUCAUGAUAACGGCAAUGAAAUUUAAUUAGCAUUUCCCUUUUCUUUUUUAUAUAAUUUUCAUUACCAUCAUCAUUAUAAUUACUGGUAUAUUUUUUGUCAUUAUCAUUUUCAUCAUAAACAUCAUUAU